GAUGAAGAACGUAGCGAAAUGCGAUAAGUAAUGUGAAUUGCAGAAUUCAGCGAAUCAUCGAAUCUUUGAACGCACAUUGCGCCCGCUAGUAUUCUGGCGGGCAUGCCUGUCCGAGCGUCAUUUCAACCCUCAAGCCCCCGGGCUUGGUGUUGGGGAUCGGCGAGCCUCCGCGCCCGCCGUCCCCUAAAUCUAGUGGCGGUCUCGCUGUAGCUUCCUCUGCGUAGUAGCACACCUCGCACUGGGAAACAGCGCGGCCACGCCGUUAAACCCCCAACUUCUGAACGUUUGACCUCGGAUCAGGUAGGAAUACCCGCUGAACUUAAGCAUAUCAAUAAGCGGAGGA
Molecule: unclassified non-coding RNA, 343 nt
Filed under: soil metagenome
Description: partial contains 5.8S ribosomal RNA, internal transcribed spacer 2, and large subunit ribosomal RNA
Rfam family: 5.8S ribosomal RNA (bases 1-120)
Source: RNAcentral